UACGUAGGGUGCGAGCGUUAAUCGGAAUUACUGGGCGUAAAGCGUGCGCAGGCGGCUUUGCAAGACAGAUGUGAAAUCCCCGGGCUCAACCUGGGAACUGCAUUUGUGACUGCAAGGCUAGAGUACGGCAGAGGGGGAUGGAAUUCCGCGUGUAGCAGUGAAAUGCGUAGAUAUGCGGAGGAACACCAAUGGCGAAGGCAAUCCCCUGGGUCUGUACUGACGCUCAUGCACGAAAGCGUGGGGAGCAAACAGG
Molecule: ribosomal RNA, 253 nt
Filed under: uncultured bacterium
Lineage: Bacteria
Description: partial 16S ribosomal RNA
Rfam family: Bacterial small subunit ribosomal RNA
Source: RNAcentral